UGUUGCAGUUAAAAGCUCGUAGUUGGAUUUCGGAGUGGGCCAGUUGGUCCGCCGCAAGGUGUGUUACUGACUGGUCUGCUCUUCUUCGCAAAGACUGCGUGUGCUCUUUGUUGAGUGUGCGUAGGAUUUACGACGUUUACUUUGAAAAAAUUAGAGUGUUCAAAGCAGGCUAUUGCUUGAAUACAUGAGCAUGGAAUAAUGGAAUAGGACUUUGGUCCCAUUUUGUUGGUUUCUAGGACCGAAGUAAUGAUUAAGAGGGACAAUUGGGGGCAUCCGUAUUUCGUUGUCAGAGGUGAAAUUCUUGGAUUUACGAAAGACGAACAACUGCGAAAGCACUUGCCAAGAGUGUUUUCAUUAAUCAAGAACGAAAGUUAGAGGAUCGAAGACGAUCAGAUACCGUCCUAGUUUCUAACCAUAAACGAUGUCGACUAGGGAUCAGGCGGGCGUUAUCGUUACGACCCCGU
Molecule: ribosomal RNA, 464 nt
Filed under: uncultured marine eukaryote
Lineage: Eukaryota
Description: SSU rRNA
Rfam family: Eukaryotic small subunit ribosomal RNA
Source: RNAcentral